Molecule: long non-coding RNA, 237 nt
Filed under: Glycine max (soybean)
Lineage: Eukaryota; Viridiplantae; Streptophyta; Magnoliopsida; Fabales; Fabaceae
Description: long non-coding RNA (GMAX_LNC000271)
Source: RNAcentral
AAAAAGAUAGAGCAUGCAUUGCUGCUUCAAUGUCCGUAGGUGUGUAGCUAGUAGAUGGUGCUAUGGCAUUGUAUGCCUAUAGACGCGAACCCAAGAUCCCUGGCCCAAAUUGACAUGGCCCAACAGUAGGAGCAACAACAUUUUUCAGUGCCUAGGAGGAAGCAACAUAUGGGCAUGGAGGCGGGUUUGGCUAUUGAGCCAACCAAGGAGCCUAGGCAGCCCAUGGCUGUUGCUGCC